CUCCGGGCCGCCCCGGGCAAGUCGGAACAACUUCGGAGCGGGCGGCGAGGGAGUGCGGCGGCGGGCGGCUGGCGCGGCCGCCGCAGAUGGCUGCGGGAGCGGGUUUCCUGCGUAGCGACACAGCGCGCCUCGAGCGCCCGCGGCCGGGAGCGCGUUUGCGGCGAGGAGCUGCAGCUGGCCGCCGACGCGUCGGGGAGAGAUCAAAGCGUGCAAUCGGAAGCUGGGCUUCUCAUCUCGGGCUACCGAAAUAGCCCACUUCUUAGUUACUCUUCUCUCUCCCUUACUCAUGGAGCCUGUGUCUUAGAAGGCACUCAUUAAUUUGAUGGUCUGAAUAGCUGUGUCCUUUUUUGAUGCCUGUGUGUCAUCCUGACUUUGGAGUGCGCACAGGGGAUGACUUCCGAGCCAUCUGACAAACAGCAUCACAGUGUAUGAGUAAUCUCCCAGUGGAAAGUUCACUGAAGAGAAUGUUGGUUGGUGACAAAUAAUGCUCUCCAAGCCUCUGGUUUUCCCCAGCUUCAUAACAAGAACAAGACUUUCCCAACAGUGUGGGCACGGAUCAGCUGAAGUAUUUGAGUGCCUCCGAGAGAAAGCGGUGAUGUGUGCUGUAUAUCCAUUUUCAUCAUCUACUAAACUACUCCUAAUAUUGGAGCUGAAAAUUAUCACUGGAAGAUUAUUUCAGAACUUGAUCAACGAAAGGGUUAAGAUCUUCUCUUGA
Molecule: long non-coding RNA, 715 nt
Filed under: Apteryx rowi (Okarito brown kiwi)
Lineage: Eukaryota; Metazoa; Chordata; Aves; Apterygiformes; Apterygidae
Description: lncRNA (ENSARWG00000010286.1)
Source: RNAcentral